RNAcentral lists this transfer RNA (73 nucleotides) under Bacteroidota bacterium. RNAcentral describes it as "tRNA-Ala". It matches the Rfam family "tRNA". From Rfam's summary of the family: Transfer RNA (tRNA) molecules are approximately 80 nucleotides in length. Their secondary structure includes four short double-helical elements and three loops (D, anti-codon, and T loops). Lineage: Bacteria; Pseudomonadati; Bacteroidota. The record is from RNAcentral.
GGGGCUAUAGCUUAGCUGGUAAAGCGUUUCGUUCGCAACGAAGAGACCACCGGUUCGAUUCCGGUUAGCUCCA